Molecule: ribosomal RNA, 1189 nt
Filed under: Oxyporus corticola
Lineage: Eukaryota; Fungi; Basidiomycota; Agaricomycetes; Hymenochaetales; Schizoporaceae
Description: eukaryotic LSU rRNA
Rfam family: Eukaryotic large subunit ribosomal RNA (bases 569-1189)
Source: RNAcentral
UGCGGAAGGAUCAUUAACGAAUUGCGUUCGAGGUUGUUGCUGGCUUCCCCCAAGAAGCAUGUGCACACCUUGUAAUCCAUUUCAACCUCACUCGUGCACUUCAGAGGACCGUCAGGUUCUCUUUUAUUACACAAACCUUUAUUAUUGUCCAUGUAGAACGUGUUUAUUAAACAUAAUACAACUUUCAACAACGGAUCUCUUGGCUCUCGCAUCGAUGAAGAACGCAGCGAAAUGCGAUAAGUAAUGUGAAUUGCAGAAUUCAGUGAAUCAUCGAAUCUUUGAACGCACCUUGCGCUCCUUGGUAUUCCGAGGAGCAUGCCUGUUUGAGUGUCGUGUAAUUCUCAAUCCCGUUUGGUUUUGAAUCAGACGUGGCUUGGAUUUGGGAGCUUGCUGGUACCCUGCAUUGUGGGGUUCGGCUCUCCUUGGAUGCAUUAGCUCGGUCACGUUAGUUGCCCGACGGUUCACGGUGUGAUAGUCUAACUUCAUCGCCGUUGUGACCGCCUCGGUGCCUGUGCCUGCCGGCUUCUAAUCUGCUGUGUCUCUUUAGAUGCGCAUACACUUUGACGGUUGACCUCAAAUCAGGUAGGACUACCCGCUGAACUUAAGCAUAUCGAUAAGCGGAGGAAAAGAAACUAACAAGGAUUCCCCUAGUAACUGCGAGUGAAGCGGGAAAAGCUCAAAUUUAAAAUCUGGCGGGUUCCCCGUCCGAGUUGUAAUCUGGAGAAGCGUUUUCCGUGUCGGACCGUGUACAAGUCCCUUGGAAUGGGGCGUCAUAGAGGGUGAGAAUCCCGUCCAUGACACGGACUACCGAUGCUUUGUGAUACGCUCUCGAAGAGUCGAGUUGUUUGGGAAUGCAGCUCAAAAUGGGUGGUAAAUUCCAUCUAAAGCUAAAUAUUGGCGAGAGACCGAUAGCGAACAAGUACCGUGAGGGAAAGAUGAAAAGCACUUUGGAAAGAGAGUUAAACAGUACGUGAAAUUGUUGAAAGGGAAACGCUUGAAGUCAGUCGCGUCCGUCGAGACUCAGCCUUGCCUUUGGGCCUGGUGUAUUUCUUGGUGGACGGGUCAACAUCGAUUUUGAAUGGCAGAUAAAGGUCUGGGGAAUGUGGCACCUCCGGGUGUGUUAUAGCCCCUCUCCGUAUAUGCUGUUUGGGAUCGAGGAACGCAGCACGCCCUUGUGGCCGGGGUUUUA